Molecule: long non-coding RNA, 433 nt
Organism: Hyla sarda
Lineage: Eukaryota; Metazoa; Chordata; Amphibia; Anura; Hylidae
Exons: 3
Source: RefSeq, a predicted model, not a curated record
CGCUCCGCGACUGAUAAUGGAUGGCCUCAAUCUCCCCAUGACUUGGAGAGCGAUUUACAUAAGACAUUCAAGGCUCAAUGAAUAAGCCCCAUUUCAGAGAAGACUUUGUUAUUUAAUUGAGAUGAAGAAAUCAACCAAUGUUAUCACAACACAAUGGAUCAAUGCGCCCCGGGAUGUAGAUCCUUUCACUAGUCACAGACUGUGUCAAGUAUUCGUGACCUCAGCUAAGAUGAGCAAUAGAAUGGAUAUAAAGACGAAUACAAGGACUUAAGAAUUAUUGUGGUCUUUAGCUCAGGAGUGUAAAUCAUGAGACAGAAGUGGAGCCAUCAUUUUACUUUUGUACGAGAUCCUUUUUGCUUUAUCAUUUGUUACGACAAUAAAUCCCAUUCUGCAGACGCCUCCUAUACGGAACACAAUCACAUUUUUGUCCCGC